Molecule: long non-coding RNA, 620 nt
Filed under: Capsicum annuum
Lineage: Eukaryota; Viridiplantae; Streptophyta; Magnoliopsida; Solanales; Solanaceae
Description: long non-coding RNA (CANN_LNC014687)
Source: RNAcentral
UAACUUGCAGUUAUCCGAUCUGUUUGAAAGAAUUCUUUUGAUUAACUUUGGAAAAUCGGUUUGUUUGGAAAAGUAAUUGAUUAAGGAAAAGGUUUUCGCUAAAUCAGUUUUUUAGCGACUUAGUUAGGGAUUUAACUAGGUUCGCAAAGAAACACGUUAACAAGUAAACGAAAGGAAAAGGGGAAAAAGCGGGGAAGUAGUGAUUUAGGCUUUUAAGCCCAAACCGUCGACCCUGCUCUAAUCUAGUUGGGUUUUCGACCCAUUUUCACCUGUCCUAAUUUUAUGUUUUUGAGCCUUUAGCUCGAGUCUCGCUUCACCUGUAUUAAGUACAACUUUGGAUUCGAGGCCCAAAUGAAUAAAUAAGAAAAUAAAUAAAUAAAUAAAUAAAUAAAUAAAUAAAUAAAUAAAGACGACAAUAAGUAAAUAGACAAAAUAACAAAUGAGACUUUUGGGUCUCGUAGCUGCUUCAAAUGAUAGGACUUUAAUCAAUUUUCUUCUUCCGACUCCUUAUAUCUAAUGCCAUGCAAUGGAUACUUGGAUUUUCUUUCAUGGCUUGACUUAAGAUAUAGGCCUCAUUGGCCCAUGAUAGAUAUGCGAAAGGAAAGAAGGAGAGUACCCAC